This 369-nucleotide ribosomal RNA is filed under the name Halammobia pellucida. RNAcentral's name for it is "partial 12S ribosomal RNA". Lineage: Eukaryota; Metazoa; Arthropoda; Insecta; Coleoptera; Tenebrionidae. The record is from RNAcentral.
GAUACCCUAUUAUUAUAAAUGUUAAUUUUCUACCUAGAUUAUUAAGAGUUAAGUUCUUCAAAAUCAAAAAAUUUGGCGGUAUUUUAGUCUGUUCAGAGGAACUUGUUUCUUGAUUGAUAAUCCACGAUAAUUUUUACUUUAACUUUAAAUUUAUAUAUCGUCGUUUAUAAAAAUUUUAAGAGGAUUAUAAUUUUUGGAAUUUUCAAUUAAAUUAAAUUUCAGAUCAAGGUGUAGUUUAUGUUAAAGUUGAAAUGAGUUACAUUAAAUUUAUUUUUGGUAUUUUAUUUUAAAAGUAGGAUUAAAUUGGAUUUGAUAGUAAAUUUUUUAUUUAUGAAAAUUGAUUUAGCUCUAAAAUAUGCACACAUCGCC